GGGAGGGGAGAGAAGGGUCUCGGCAUUUAGUAUUUGGGAGACACGCUGUACCCUCUUCAUCUAGCUUUUGACGCUUGGCUUUUUCUUGUCACUACCUUUGUCUCACUGUCCAUCAGUAGGAACGUCCAAAACAGCUGUGGCUAUGGACAGUGGGUCUAUUUGUACAUGAAGGUUGAGAGGGGGCAGUCAGCUAUCAAUGUUUAGAAUCUCGAGCUGCCAUUGAGCCCCUUUUACCAUUAGGGUAACGUCCAGGACCCACGGCUUUGCAUGGUGGGGACACUGUGCAGAGUCCAAUCCUAACGUUCUUGAAAGGAUAAGCUAGACCGACCCCGCGGUCUUCCAGAGAGCCCCGCGGGGAGGGCCCCGCGGGGAGGGUGGGCUUCCUGGCUGGCGCCCAGCACGAGCCUGUGAUGCUGCCUGGCCCCCAGGAGGAGCCAGCUGUGCCCCGGGGCUGGUGCAGACCGAACUUGGAGCGCGGGGACUGGUCGACCUGUGUGUGCAGUAGACGAGUCCAGAGCAUCCGAUAAGAAUUUGCUGCCGCUGCCAAGCCUCGCGCAGCCCCCUAAUUGGAGUUGUUCUGCUAGGAGACACUCUGGACCUGUGUCCCGAACAGCGUGGGACCCACUGCUUCAGAGCUGAAACGCUCAUGCGCUGCGCGGGAUCAAACUCUGGGACUGAGGUUGGCGGGAGGGCUGUUUCUAGGAACUGCGGGGCGACUUGAUCAUGGUCCCCGACCCUUAAGAAGCUAAAUGACCCAAGACCAUGGGGGAGGGGCCGGGAAUCUGUUCUCCACCAGAGCUGGAAAGCUACCUGACCACCCCCUACCCCCAAGGGAUUUGUCAUCUCAAACCCAAAAGAGCUAAUAUCCACCUGGCAGAUUAUUCACCCACCUGCCAUGUUUGUUCAUGAAUAUUAAAUGUCAAAGCGCAGUGCUGUUAACACAGAUUUAACUUGGAAAUGUCUGCAGUUAUGAUACCUCUGAUGGAAUAAAUCGUUUUCAUUUUCCUUU
Molecule: long non-coding RNA, 1009 nt
Organism: Condylura cristata (star-nosed mole)
Lineage: Eukaryota; Metazoa; Chordata; Mammalia; Eulipotyphla; Talpidae
Exons: 2
Source: RefSeq, a predicted model, not a curated record